UACGGAAGGCAGCAGGGGGAAUAUUGCACAAUGGGCGCAAGCCUGAUGCAGCCAUGCCGCGUGUAUGAAGAAGGCCUUCGGGUUGUAAAGUACUUUCAGUCGUGAGGAAGGUGUUAAGGUUAAUAACCUUAGCAAUUGACGUUAGCGACAGAAGAAGCACCGGCUAACUCCGUGCCAGCAGCCGCGGUAAUACGGAGGGUGCGAGCGUUAAUCGGAAUUACUGGGCGUAAAGGGCACGCAGGCGGUUAAUUAAGUUGGAUGUGAAAUCCCCGGGCUUAACCUGGGAAUGGCAUUCAAGCUGGUUAGCUAGAGUCUUGUAGAGGGGGUAGAAUUCCAUGUGUAGCGGUGAAAUGCGUAGAGAUGUGGAGGAAUACCGGUGGCGAAGGCGGCCCCUGGACAAAGGACUGACGCUCAUGUGCGAAAGCGUGGGGAGCAAAC
RNAcentral lists this ribosomal RNA (438 nucleotides) under uncultured bacterium. RNAcentral's name for it is "bacterial SSU rRNA". It matches the Rfam family "Bacterial small subunit ribosomal RNA", at positions 340 to 773 of the family's 1533-position model. The record is from RNAcentral.